UUUCAUAUCGAUUGGGUUUAUAUUCAACCAGGGCGCAACAGCACAUUUUCUGAGGGGUAUGCGAGAUCAGUUUUGGAUAAUAGAGUUAAGAAAUUGCAACAAACGCGAAUUUUAAUGCAAAUUAACAUGUUUCCUUCAACCAUAUAUUCUAUUCAAAUAACGUGUUAAUUCACUUUCUUAUAAUCGACAAUUGAAUGCAAACUCAGCUGAUGAUGGCCAUUUGCCUUUUCUAAUGAUCAAAACAACAGAAAAGCCCACAAGUUAAAUUGUCAUAUCGUUAGAUAUUUAAACAGGCUCAUUAGCUAUUACGUUUAACAAGACAAAGCAAUUAUUCAAGAUAUUACAUUUUUCACUUAACAGGUCAAUCAUUCCUAGGCUCUGAACACAAAAGCAACAUGUCCAUGGAUAGUGGUGCUGGAGGAACGGACAGUGGCGAUGGCACAUCGUUGCAACUCGAGACAACUCGAGUUUACGUUCUGUUGUAAACAGCUCCAAAGUGAAGGCCAAGAAGCAGAGCCCAAAAAAAGUGCAAUCCUGUCAGUCAUCGAAGGCCAUUCCAUCAGAUACAUGCCCAAGACUGUACUACUGGAUCUGCCAACACCUCUGACCACUCUUUAUGCAAGCCCCAGGCUUGAAAUGGAUUUGCCCGCACUGCUGGAGGAGGGUGCCGAGACCUUUGAGAAGCUGCAUCUCACACCACAGCAGAUGAGGUCUAAAAAAUGAGGACACUGCCAGAGAAUCGUACCUGAGGGCGAUGCAGGACCUCCAAGCAGACCUCCACGUUGCAGCAUCUGGACUGAUAAGUAACCCAGAGGUGCCAUGGAUCGGUGGAUCACCAGAUGGUGUGGUGAUGGUGUUAUAGAUGAAGUGUCCUUUCAGUGCAAAAGACCGCACCCUACAUGAAUGUGUAAAAGACUCAAGGUUCUGUCUGAGGAAGACUCUGAGGAAGGUGUAAUGAGUCUAAAGCUUAAUCACAGUUACAUGCAUCAAGUCCAAGCCCAAAUGUGUGUAGCAGAGGUAACAUACUGUGAUUGUCAAGAACUAUUUAUACAGCGCAUCCCGUUUGAUGAUACAAAAAAAACAAUGUCACAUGUCAAACAAUAGCUGUCAAAACUAAUCUCUUACUGUGUUUGCAACUUACUUUGUGACCCAUUUUACUGAGAUGACAAAUCUGCCAAAUGUCUCUUAUACAUGUACUGUAUGUUAAAGAUGAUGUUUAAGUAAAAAUGAAGCAUUAUCUUUGUCUGUAGUACAUAUUCAGAAAAUGAAAAAAUAAACAAAAUUCAGAAAUAAA
Triplophysa rosa is the source of this 1294-nucleotide long non-coding RNA. RefSeq lists it as uncharacterized. Lineage: Eukaryota; Metazoa; Chordata; Actinopteri; Cypriniformes; Nemacheilidae. The transcript has 2 exons. The record is from RefSeq and is a predicted model, not a curated record.